AUGAAGGGGACAAGGAGAAAACAGCCUUUGGGCUCGGAUGAGGAAGAUAAUUUAUCAAUUGAUUAUCAGCUACCAGAUUCUGACCAAGAGCUGGAUGAAGAUGACAAAGCAAUCUUAAAGAAGACAAGACAGCAGUUGCAUGGAGCAAAUGAUACUGAUUCUGACAGUGAGGAAGAAGUUCUGCCUUUACAGUCAUCUUCAGAAGACAGUGAUGAUUCUGAUGAUGAAGAAAAUUCUGAAGAUGAGGACAAAGAUGUCCUGGGGGAUGAUGAAGGGACUUGCCUGACCCAAAAGCAUGGGGACGGAAACGGAAAAAUUACUAUGACACCGAUUACAUAGAUCAAGAUUUUGGCGGGUUCCAGAAUGAGAAGAUGAGGAGGCAGCAUUGAUGGAGGAAGAAGAGGCUCGAGCGAUUCAGCGAAGGCUUGCUGAGCAAUUAGAUGACCUUGACCCCGUCCUCACUUUUGCCACCUUGGUAAGUGUUUUAAAUUUACGGAAACCUUUACCGAAUGCAAGUAAGUGUGCAGGAGGACCGUGUACGGCUUUAUCUAAAUCUCAUUUUUUGUUUUUAUGAGUUCUUUAUUGUUUCCACUGCAUACACAUGCACAUGAACUCAGAACAAUGGUACAGAAAGACCAAAAAGGUACAGGACUAGUACAAAGCAAAGUCUAAUGUUCAGUUUUUAAAUAAAGCAUCAAAAGCCUUUUUGAGAAAUAAAAAUUUACAUUAUAGAUCCAACUGAUUGAGAAGAGUAAGUCAUGGUUACUGACUUUAUGGUACUACAUGAGCACCCUAUGAAGCAGUCAUCUGUCUUUUCCCUAAAAUUUAGGAGCCCCUUUGGCCAGAAAGCCCUGGUUUACGGAGCCAAAUUAACUUUUCGCAUAAUGCAUCAUGGUACAUGAAAUUACAAGUUUAAAAAAAUUGACGGGGUAAAUAAACUUUGAGGCGCCAAAUGGCCCAGCUCUCCCGAUUUUUCAGGGCCCCUAAGGAUUCUCUUUGCUAUCCCUAUACUGGGGGGGGGGGGUUAGAUGAAAAGUCUGCCAUUUUUUGUAAUUUGCCCUUCUCCAUGAGGUCUGUAACUAACUCAACUAAUCUGAACUUUAGGUCAAGAUGCAGUGCAAAUCACUUAUGUUUAAUUCAUGGUUAAAUUGAUUUUUUCACAGGGUGAUUUAACAAAAGUAGUUGAUGAUGCUGAUGACAAGAAAGAAUUAUUGAAACUGACUUUAGUCAAAUGAACAAGAGAGAUCGAAUAACUUAUUACAAAAAGAAUCUCCUGAGUUUCUAGGUUUCAUCACUGAUUUUAAAA
Molecule: long non-coding RNA, 1306 nt
Filed under: Bemisia tabaci
Lineage: Eukaryota; Metazoa; Arthropoda; Insecta; Hemiptera; Aleyrodidae
Description: lncRNA ENSSWEETPG010776
Source: RNAcentral